Molecule: long non-coding RNA, 11927 nt
Organism: Callithrix jacchus (white-tufted-ear marmoset)
Lineage: Eukaryota; Metazoa; Chordata; Mammalia; Primates; Cebidae
Source: RefSeq, a predicted model, not a curated record
UUUCUCAUAGUCAUAAUUUUCUAUUACCAUUUUUGCAAAAGCAGUUUGAAGCCCUGCAGGUGACUCUGGCCAUGUUGACAGCUUUGGGCUCAACCACCCACCGCCUCUUCCCCACCGCAGCCACCUGACCUCUAUUACCCUGAUCCCAAUUAGAUGGAUCCUGGCUCAACUUCCCGUGCUUUUCGCCCGCUCGGCUCCUCCCACUUGGCCUCAGCUCCUCCCACCCAGUCUUGGCUCCUUCCAUUUGGCCUCGUCUCCUUUCACCAGCCUCGUCUCCUCUCACCCAGCCUCGGCUACCACCUCUGCUACCCGCUGGACCUCGGCUUUCCAGGACCUGCUUCGAUAACUGGCUUUGGGGAGAACUUGCUGCCAUAAAGAAAUUCAGCCCUGCUGAGAGGCCUACAUGAUUUGGAAGUGUAGGUCCCUUGAAAACAGCUAGCAUGAACUCGUCAGGCAUGUGUGAGCCAUUUCGGAAGUGGACCUUCCAUCAGGACAAAUUCUGGAUGAUUGUGGUCUGCUGACAUCUGGACUGAAACCUCAUGAGAGAUCCUGAAGAGGAACUACAGAGCUGUGUUGUUUCUGAAUUCCUGAAUGAUUUGUCACAAUUUUUAUAAGUUUUGUUGUUGGAAGCCACAAAAUUUUGGGGGGUAAUUCCUACAUCUGGUGUGACUUCUCUCAUGUUAUCUGAGGAUGAAAGAUCAACAAAUGCUUUCCCCACAGUUUUUGAAUUCACAAUUGUCUAUUAUGUAUUCUCUUACGCAAAGAAAGGUUAUAGUUAGUAGCAAAGAAUUUCCCACAGUGAUUACAUUCAUGGGGCUUUUCUCCAGCAUGCGUUCUCGUGUGUUUCUUAACCAAUGAGAGAACGUUAACGGCUUUUCCACAGUAAUUGCAUUUAUAGGGUUUCUCUCCUGCGUACUGUAAGAGAAAAUCUACGGGUGAAAGAUGUUCCACACACAUUACAUUUGUAGGGUUUUUCUCCAGUAUGAGUUCUUAAGUGUUGUCAGAUUUGUGCUCCUCGUGAAGGUCUUCCCACAAUCGUGGCAUUCAUAAGGUUUCUCCCCUGUGUGAAUUCUAUUGUGCAAAGUAAGAGACGACCUCGUGCAGAAAGCCUUUCCACACUGAUUAUAUACAUAAUGAUUCUCCCCCGUAUGAGCUCUCUUGUGGCUUGUGAAGACAGAGUGCGGAACUCAUGAAGACAAUGGUUACAUUUGUAGGGUUUUUCUCCAUUGUGAAUUCUCCAGGGCACACUAAGGGAUGAGGAAUUAAUGAAGGCUUUCCCACAGUCACUGCAUUCAUAGGGCUUCUCCCCAUUGUGGAUUCUCUUAUGAACAGUAAGGUAACAUCUAAUCCUGUUAGAUGUGGGAUUUCCCACACUCACUGCAGUCAUAGGGUUUUUCUCCAGUAUGAAUCCUCUUGUGCCACGUAAGGGAAGAUUUUGAGCUGAGGACUUUAAAACACUGAUUACAUUUGCUGAGUUUUGCUCCAAGAUGAUUUGUCUCCUGUUGAUUAAGAGAUGACUAGUAAGUACAAUUUAUAAUAUUUUUAGCACUGAAUACUGUCAUGGGUCCCUCUCCCAGGAAUUCUGUUGUGUAUCAUGGUAUUAGAAUUAAUCGUUUUGCCACUAUAAGUGUGCUGGUACAUGGCUUCUGUCAGUUUGAUUCUUAGAAUUUAAAAAAGAUGGAUUCUUUCUAAACAUCUUUAUCAUAUUCAUAGAGCGUUUUUCUGAUAAGUUUAAGGCUAAUUUUUUUUUUUUUUUUUGAGAUGAAGUUUCGUUCUUGUCACCCAGUCUGGAGUGCAAUGGCAUGAUCUUGGCUCAUUGCAACCUCCAUCUCCUGGGUUCAAGCUAUUCUCCUGUCUCAGCCUCCCAAGUAGCUGGGAGUACAGGCUUGUGCCACCAUGCCCAGCUAAUUUUUUUGUAUUUUUAGCAGAGAUGGGGUAUAACUCUGUUGGCCAGACUGGUCUCAAACUCCUGACCUCAGGUGCUCCACCCACCUUGGCCUCCCAAAGUGCUGGGAUUCCAGGUGUGAGCCACUGCGCCCAGCUACUUUGUUUUCCAAAUACCCCAUUAUCUGACUCAGACUACUGGAUGUAUUUACUUGUGGGACUUCUCAGGAAAAAGAAGUUUGGGGCUAAUGCUUUUCUCCAAAUUCUAAAUAAUUUCACAGUAUCUCUCCAGAGACACUAUUUUCUCUUGGAAAAAUGACACUUUCCUUUAAUAACUAUUUAAUAAAGCCACUCUUGGUGGCUUUUCUAAUGUGGGGCAUCCUCCUACCAUGAAAAGCCAUUGACCACUCAUGUUAGUCUUACCAUUUUCAUAUUUCUAGAUUGUUCUUUUCGAAAAACACGUAGCUUUGAAGUUAGCCCGCUAGCUUUAAGUGGAGUCUCCACAUCUGAAACAAGUUAAAAAGAAAUUUAAGUUGAUAGAAAAGUAGCAAUUUUAAGUUGAUGGUGAAAUGGUAAAAUGCAUAUAUGAGUGAAGGCAGAAUCUGAGAUGUGGGCUUUUUGAGAAGGCAUGCAACAAAUGGGAUACGGACGUGAAAAUUUUAGGCAGGCCGGGCGUGGUGGCUCAAGCCUGUAAUCUCAGCACUUUGGGAGGCCGAGGCAGGUGGAUCAUGAGGUCAACAGAUUGAGACCAUCCUGGUCAACAUGGUGAAACCCCGUCUCUACUAAAAUUACAAAAAAUUAGCUGGGCACGGUCGGUGGUGCUUGCCUGUAAUCCCAGCUACUCUGGAGGCUGAGGCAGGAGAAUUGCCUGAACCCAGGGGGCGGAGGUUGCAGUGAGCUGAGAUUGCGCCAUUGCACUCCAGCCUGGGUAACAAGAGCGAAACUCCGUCUCCAAAAAAAAAAAAAAAAAUUUAGGCAAUGUUUAAUAAAGAUUCUAGCGAGAUAGAGAUUGAUGAUGACAAAACGAAGGAAUUGUCAGGAAGGCAAGGUGGACUGAAACUGCUCAAAGAACUCAUAGGAGACUUACAUUUAAGAAAAAGAGACGUCUUUUUUUUUUUUUUUUUUUUGAGAUGGAGUCUAUUGCCUGGGCUGGAGUGCAAUAGCGCAAUCUCGGCUCACUCCAACCUCUGCCUCCCAGGUCGAGAUUCUCCUGCCUCAGCUGUUGUACCCAAAGCAAGUUUAAAACAGAAGCUCCACACUGAGUUUGUUGAGUCCAUUUAAUGCCGGCGUCCAAGAGUCAGCUAUUGCUCAAACCUCUCAGCCCUGAACAAAAGGCAGUCAACAUUUUUAUACCUUUGCGGGGUUAGGAGAGGGAAGCAAAUUGUUACAGAAGCAGAAAGAGCAGGUUAGGGGAGGGGGGACCUAACAACAAAGAUUCUAUUUAAAGUUGUUUGUCAAGCAGGAUGUGGGGAAGGCAAUGACACAGCUGCAGGUACAGGAUGUAUGGGCCAGUGGGCCUUGUUUCUCAGAGAAACAGGUUACAAAAUACUAGGUGCCUCAGGUUACAAAGUUUCAGGAACAAAGUGCUCUACAUAGCUCAGGGUGGUUAGAAUGGGAGUUAACAGGAUUGCUUAAAACGGAGUCACCAUAGCCAGGCUAGAUUAUCUCACUGGAGUUCGCCUCUCCAAGGGCCAGCUCUGAACCCUAUAUGAACUACAAUGGCCAACCUUUGACGUGGGAUGGCCAAACACAGGCCCUAAGUGGUCCAGGCAGUUUGGAGGGUAGUCACAAGAAACCCAGGUCACCCCAACCAGUUCCCGUAUAUUGAUCAGUAGCUAAGGUUGGUCCUGAACCACCACUAUGGCUGAAGUCCUGUGCAGCUCAAAACCCUGCCUCUAAGGUACUCAACCAUACCAGUCGGUCGCCACCCUCUUCAGCUCGGCCCCUCUAGUCCUGCCCCCAUCUGGGGAGAACAAAGGUUUCCCCCUCAUCCUCCCUCUGCCCUACGACCCUGUUGUUGCCCACUGUUACUUUCCUAUACCCCCACUGCAUCCCCACCUGUGGCCCCAAGGCUUUGGCCACAACAGGAGCUAGAGGCUGCUCCCCUCCCUCCCUUUGAGGGAGGCAUCGCAUCCGGCUGGUGGUGAGUGAUCAACCCCAUUUUUGGUUUAUGUCCCAUUUUCCACCUCUGAUUUACAUAAUAGGAGAACUCAGAACCUGCUGUUUUCUGAAAAAACCCAGGUUCUGACCUCCUGGUGGAAUCCAUACUGCAGAAUCAUCAUUCUACUUGGGAUGACUGUCAGCAAAUCCUCCACUCUUUUUACCACAGAGGAGAGCUACUAUAUCUGAAGGGAAGCAGGGAAACACUUCCUCACCUCCACUGGCCAACCUGAGGAGGGCAGGAACCGGUUGGAGGAGGUUUUCCCCUCAACCAGACCAGACUGGACCCUAACUCCUCAGUGGGGAGAAGGGCUUUGGACAGCUUCCACUGGUAUCUUCUCUCGGGUAUUAAGGGAGCUGCACAGAAGCCCAUGAAUUUAUCUAAAACCACGGAAGUGGUCCAGGGGACAAUGAGUCUCCAGGGGCAUCUCCAGGAGGCCUAUCGUAUUUACACCCCAUUUGAUCUGGCUGCACCCCAAAAUAGCCAUGCUUUAAAUUUGGCUUCUGUAACUCAGGCGGCCCCAGACAUCCAGAGAAAAUUACAAAAGCUGGAGGAAUUUGCUGGAAUGAGUAUCACAUAACUUUUAGAAAUAGCCCAAAAGGUGAUAACAGGGAGAAUGAGAAACAAAACCAGGCGGCCCAAGCUGCUUGUGACAAGGCUUCCAAAAGACAGGCAAAAAUUUUGGUGGCUGCCCUCCAGGAGGCACGGGGAAGACCCCCCUCCCCAACAAAUCAACAAGGGCCGUCAGUUGGGGGCCUGAGCUCCGCUCCAGUGAAAUCAGUGCGCCUACUGUAAAAAACUGGAAAAAUGCCCCAAAAGACAAGGAACUGAAAAAAAAGAAACUGCUAGCCUUGGAGGAGCUAGAAGAUUGACAGGGCUGGGGCUCAUUCUUGCUUGGUCCCCAGAAGCCCAUGGUCAGCGCCACAGUACAGGGUCACCCUGUAAAAUUUUUAAUUGACGCUGGAGUGAAACGCUCAGUAUUAAAAACACCUUUGGGCCAGGUGAACUGAUCACAAAAGGAGCAGUUCAAGGGGCCACAGGGACUAUCUGCAACUAUGAGAAGUAAACCUAUCUCAUUCCUUCUUGGUAGUUCCACCCAUAUCCCCUAAUGGGAAGUUAUCUACUCCAUAAACUGCAAGCCUCUAUCUCCUUCUCAACCCGAGGAACUCAUCUCACCUUAGAGAACCAGGACUCAUCAACUACCCACCUCUUACUGACCACCCCCCACCCCACCCCGCCAUGUCAGAUGAAUACCUCCUGGUUUUAAAUGCCCCACCAUAGCCUCAGAAAACAGCUCACUUAUGCUGGAAUUAGAGGCCUAGUUUCACCCCUUUUGGGUGGAAUCAACCCCCUGGGACUGGCAAAACACCACCCUCCUGGGACAGUGGAGUUGUUGGCUGCAGCUCUACCAGUACAAGUAAAACAGUAUCCCAUGAGUCAAAAAGCCAGGGAAGGCGUAAGUCCCCAUAUACAGCGGCUACUGCAGGCAGAUAUUUUAAGGCCAUUCCUGCCAGUAAAGAAGCCUGGUACCAAUGACUAUCAGCUGGUCCAGGAUUUUCGGGACGUUAACAAGCAGUCUAGUCACUAUUCACCCAACUGUCCCAAACCCAUACAUCCUCCUCAGCCUGCUCCUGCCAAACCAUACAGUAUACACUGUUUUGGACUUAAAGGAUGCCUUCUUUGUCAUCCCCUUGGCCAACAGCAGCCAGCCAAUCUUUGCUUUCAAAUGGACAGAUCCAAACUCGGGAGACACCACCCAACUUGCUUGGACCUGCUUAUCCCAGGGGUUCAAGAAUUCUCCUACCCUUUUUGGAGAUGUUCUCCAACAAAACCUAGUGCCUUUCCGAGCCAGUCAUCUAGACUGCACCCUUCUCCAGUAUGUAGGUGACUCACUGCUGGCCACGGAAAUGGCCAACAGCUGUCUACAACAUACAAAAGACUUGCUGUGUCUCCUCCUGGGACUUGGAUACCAAGUCUCAGCAAAAGAGGCCCAAGUCUGCCUCCAAAAGGUACUUUACUUAGGAUAUGAACUCACCAAGGGAAAGUGAGCACUUUCCAAUGCUCAACAACAGGCUAUCUUGCAAAUUCCAAAAAACAGGUGUGGGAAUUCCUGGGGGCAGCAGGGUACUGCCGCCUCUGGAUUCUGGGGUUCACAGAAAUUGCAAAACCCCUCUACACCAUGACCAGUGGAAGCAGGGAGUUGGUCUGGACUGAGACAGAGGAACAGGCCUUCCAGAACCUAAAAAGGGCUCUCACUGAAGCACUGGCUUUGGCACUCCCCGAUGUGUCAAAACCUUUCCACCUCUUUGUUCAUGAAAACAAGGGCAUGGCCAAGGGAGUCCUCACCCAGUCCCUGGGACCAUGGUGGCAGCCAGAUGCCUACUUAUCAAAAAAAUUGGAUCCAGUGGCUUCAGGUUGGCCAAGCUGCCUGUGGGCAGUGGCAGCUACUGCAAGUUUGGUCCAGGAAGCCGGUAAGUUAACCUUGGGCCAAGAACUAACCCUUUCAGCACCCCGUGCAGUGGAAACUCUGCUCAAGAGUGCCUCGGGAAAAUGGAUGUCAAACUCGCGGAUCUUACAGUACUGAAGCCUGCUACUGGAGCAGCCCAGGCUGACUUUCCAUCCUGCAUGAUGCUUGGAUCUGGCAACUUUGCUCCCAGACCCAGACUUCUCUGCUCCCAUUCAUGACUGCCAAGAAAUACUUGAGGUCACUAAGACCACCAGUAGGCCAGACUUGCAAGAUACCCCUCUGGAACAGGCGGAUGCAACUCUGUUCACCGAUGGAAGCAGUUUCAUCAACCAGGAGGUAUGCAGGGUCAGUGCAGCUAUCACAACAGAGACCAAUAUUAUCUGGGCCCAAGCACUACCCAAUGGCACCUCCGCACAAAAGCCUGAACUAGUAGUCCUCACCCAGGGCCAAAGACAAGCAAGUAAACAUCUACACUGACAGUCGAUAUGCCUUUGCUACUGUACAUGUACAUGGGGCCAUAUACUGGGAGAGGGGUUUACUUACCUCUGCAGGAUAAACUAUCAAAAACAAAGAGGAAAUCCUGGCCCUGCUCGAUGCCAUAUGGCGUCCCUGUCAGGUUGCUGUAAUCCACUGCAAAGGACACCGGAGAGAAACAUGACCAUUGCCUGGGGAAACCAGAAGGCAGACUCUGCAGCCUAUGAAGCAGCUAUGCUUCCUGUCACUCCACUGACACUGUUGCCAGUCGUAUCCUACCCACAGCCAGAGCUGCCCAUCCAUCCAACAUAUUCUCCAGAGAAAGAGAAGCAAGCAUCAGAUCUUCAGGCCAACAAAAACCAAAAUGGAUGGUGGAUCGCCUUGGACUCGAGAAUCUUCCUGCCUGAGUCCCUUGGGUGGGCCCUAGUUGGCCAACUUCAUUCCACCACUCACCUAGGAGGAACCAAGUUGGCUCAGCUUUUACAGGGUACUUCAAAAUCCCCCACCUUCAGGACUUAACUGUACUGGCAGCUUACAACCGCAUGGCCUGGGCACAAGUAAACACCAGGCAAGGUCCCAAACCUGAACUGGGCCACUGCCUCCGAGGAUGCAGCCCAGGAGAAAGGUGGGAAAUAGACUUUACAGAAAUAAAACCACACUAGGCAGGAUCCAAGUAUCUCCUGGUGAUGGUCGAUACUUUUUCCAGAUGGACUGAGGCGUUUGCCACUCGAAAUUAAACUGCAUCCACAGUAAUAAACAUAAAUGAAAUCACUCCCCGGUACAGGCUGCCAAUUGCCAUUGGGUCAGGCAACAGUCCAGCCUUCACCAUGUCCAUUACUCAAGUGGUCAGUAAGGCACUAAAUGUCCAAUGGAAACUACACUGUGCCUACCAGUCCCAGAGCUCUGGACAGGUUGAACGCAUGAACCGAACUUUAAAGGACACCCUUACAAAACUCAUUCUGGACACCGGUGAGAGACGGACAAACCUCCUUCCCCUCACACUCCUUAGAGAACUAGAUGCUCCCCUUAUCGGGCAAUUCACCCCAUACGAAAAUAAUGUUCGGUGGAGCACCACCCAUUCUACCAAGGCUGAAGGAUGUCCAUUUGGCAGAAAUCUCUCGUGCUAACCUGUUACAGUAUUUACAGUCUUUUCAACAGGUACAGGACUUUAUCCAGCCGCUUGUUUGAGAAACAUACUGGACCCCCACUUCUGACCAUCUGACCCGCCUACAUCCGGUCAUCCCUUCCACCCAGGAGACCUCAUGUAUAUCAAAGUUCCAGAAGGAAGGACUUACCCCAUCAUGGAAGGAACCCUACACCAUGAUCCUAGCAAGCCCCACUACCUGAAGGUUAACAGUUUUCCAACCUGGAUCCACUGCUCCUGCGCGAAGUCCGCUACCGAGACUCAACAAGCAACAUGGGUCCCUGAGCCAGGACCUCCUCUCUUAAGCCUACGAGAUUAGGGCAGGCAGGUCAACUUGGAGGAUUAACUCUGUGUGGGACAGCAUCCCCUUCCAGGUAGUAUUACUGACCACUUGUCCUGCUGGAAGGAGUAGGUGUGCCUCUCUGAGACCCAACACUGGUGUGUGGUGAUGGGGGGAGAAAUGAGAGAGAGCACAACUACUCCUACCAGUCUGCCCGAAUCUAGGAAGUCAGCCCUCUUUUCAGUUGGGGCUCCCAGGGUGACCCUGGGAUGCCUUGGCUGGGAUGUGGGAGAUCCGACAAUGAGGAAAAGGAACUUUAGUAAAUUGACUUUUACAUGUGUCCAGGAAACCCCUCAGAUGUAAACUAUCAGCAAGCAGAUGAGUAUUUCUGCCCAUAUUGGUCCCGUGUAACCCUAGCCGCCUAUCACGGGGGACCAACAAAAUCUUCAACCCUCCCUUUAGCCCUUGCUGCCCAUCCAAAAACAUGCUCUAUGGGAUCCUCUAAUCCCCUAAACCUACCAUCCACAAUCCCUCUGCCUUCUCUUGACCAUGGGGAUGAUCUGGGGACUCAGGCUAUAUGUAACUGGAUGGGAUUCGGGCACUCUGUUCGUAAUCCAAAAAAAGGUCCUUACCUACUGGAGACUGCCGAAACCUACUGGGCCAUAUCAGACUUAGGAGGACCUAUGUUCCAGCCCCAUCCCCAGUAAAAAUUUCAGCCGGCCCACCCUGGGUGGUCUCCGGGCUCGGGCCUAAACCUCAUCUAGCCCCAAUUCUAAUGUAUAUCCUUGCUAACAUGCAUAAGCUUCUAAAUACCACCCAACCCAAACUGACUCAAGACAGUUGGCUGUGCCUAAAAACAAAACCUCCAUAGUAUAUGGGAGUAGGAGCAGAAAAACCUAUCCCACUUGAAUCUCCUCCCUGCACAAAGCCUACCCGCUUGCUCACUCUAAGUUAUACUGUGGGAAACGCAUCCUGCUUAAUCAUCUCUGGAUAUAACCUGUCUGCUUCUCCCUUUCAGACUACUUGCAGUCAGUCUUUACUCACUGUUAGGAACUCCUCAUUGUCCUGUCGAGCUCCCAAUGGCAUCUGGUUGGCCUGCACCUCCAGUCUCACCCGUUGCAUAAAUGGAUAACUCUGGAGAACCCAAACUGUGUGUCUUGGUCCAUAUACUUCCCCAAGUGUAUGCAUACAGUGGACCAGAAGGACACCUCCUCUUCACCCCGCCAGGACUAUACUCCAGGUUCAGCCAUGGGGCCCUGAUUCUAGUGCCUCUCUUGGUAGGACUUGGUAUAGCAGGCUGCACUGCCCUGGGGUCUGCUGCUUUAAUCCAAGGAGAAACUGCACUGGUGUCAAUAUCCCAACACACUGAUACUGAUCUAGAAGAAAUUCACUCAGCCAUAAACAUGCUGGAUGCCCAAUCAGAUUCCCUAGGCAAGUUGGUCCUUCAAAACCACUGGGGUUUAGAUUUGUUGUUUCUGUCCCAAGAAGACUCAGUGCUAGAUCAGGGGAAAGCUGUUGUUUCUAUGCCAACAAGUCUGGAGUCAUCGGAGAUACUCUCCAAAGAGUCAGGGAUAACUUAGACAAACGCUGCGAGAGCAGAAGAAUAAUACUCCCUGGUACCAGGAACUGUUUAACUGGAAGCCCUGGCUCACAACCCUGAUCACCAGGCUGGCAGGCCCCCUACUUCUUCUUCUUUUAGGCCUAACUUCUGGACCACGCAUACUAAACUGGCUCCUAAAAUUGAUUAGGCAGCCCACAGCCUGUCAGCCUCAUGUACCUCAGAACCCACUACCAUCCUGUAGAUGCCACUGAGGAAUCCAUGAUUUGAUUCUGCCAAAACAUCAGUGGGGAAUGACAUAAUCUAGCCUGGCUAUGGUGACUCCAUUUUAAGCAAUCCUAUUAACUCCAUUCUAACCACCAUGAGCUAUGAGAGCACUUUGUUCCUGAAACUUUGUAGCCUGAGGCAUCUGGUAUUUUGUAACCUGUUUCUCUGAGAAACACGGCCCACUGGCCCAUACAUUCUGUACCUGCAGCUGUGUCACUGCCUUCCCCACAUCCUGCUGGACAACUUUAAAUAGAAUCUUUGUUGUUAGGUCCCCCCUCCCCUAACCUGCUCUUUCUGCUUCUCUAACAACUUGCUUUCCAUCCCCUAACCCCGCAAAGGUAUAAAAAUGUUGACUGCCUUCUGUUUGGGGCGGAGAGGUUUGAGCAAUAGCUGACUUUAGGACAUCAGCAUUAAACGGACUCCCAACAGACUCAGUGUGGCGCUUCUGUUUUACACUCGCUUUGGGUACAGCACAGCCUCCCAAGUAGCUGGGAUCACAGGCAUGCGCCACCAUGCCCGGCUACGUUUUUGUACUUUUAGUACAGACAGGGUUUCACUGUGUUAGCCAGGAUGGCCUUGAUCUUCUGACCUUGUGAUCCACCCAGCUCAGCUUCCUAAAGUGCUGGGAUUACAGGCGGGAGCCACAGUGGCUGCCCAGCGUGUCUCUUUUUUUUUACUCUCCUGAGGCCAAAGUAAAGUAUGAGAUGACAAACUGGAAUUUGAAGUAAUGAAGGCACGUGAGCCUCAGACCAAGCAUUCUUGGCCUUGUUGGGAAAAGGGGCAUUUAUGCAGUUCUCUCCCUGGUAUUUCCCAACGUAUUAUAAUGCUCCCAACUUCUCACUCCCUGGCCAGACCUGUCCCUCACAAUGAUUUAUAUCCACCUGGUGCUCACCUGGUUGGGUACCUGGGACAAUUCCUCUCUCCUGUCAUCAACUUAUCUUCUUGCUCCAACUGGGAGAUCAGACGUCUAUCAACUUGGUUCCCUGUACAUGGAGAAAAGGCACAUGAUGUAGGGGUCUGUGCAGCAGAUAAGCUCCCCCAUGAAGCUGAAAUCAGUACUUAUGAAGGUGAAGAGGUGUGACUUCAGGAGCAGAGGAAUCAUUAUGCCAAAAUUGAAUAUAUAAAGUAACCCUCUUUCACAAAAAUUAAAAGAAAAAAAAAAAUCACAAGCCUCUUCAGUCAAUAGCUAAGGCGGUUGCAGGAUAACUGGUCCCAGGAGCCCCAGUCCAGGUUUCAAUACAGAAUUUGAAAGCCCAAGAUUUAACUACAGAGAAUAUACCGUCAGUGUGGGAAGUAGAAAAGUUCCCUUUCUUGUUAAAGAAUAAGUGUGCUAAUAACUUUCUGAAGCCCUAUCCUAGGUAGGUGUCAGACAUGUCAUGCUCACAGGCACAUAGUACAUUCUAUGUCCUUGUACUUUAACCAAGAUAUCUGCGCUGGACGUGCUCACAAGCAUGUCCCAGCUCUCCGCUGCUUUUACCUAAGUUUUAAGUUGUUAGCCAAUUGGGUUUCAGUUUGGACUGUGAGGUCUGGCUACAGCCAAAGGAGAUCAGACAUAGCAGUAAGGACAACCCCAAAUGUGUAAAAAAUAAAUCUGUGUGUUCUCCUUUGUUCAUUUUACUCUUGUGGCAUGAUGGCUAGCAUGGGUGCCCUCUCCUGCAGUCCAGGAAGUAAAAAGUGUGUUGCUGAAGAGUC